This 253-nucleotide ribosomal RNA is filed under the name uncultured bacterium. RNAcentral's name for it is "partial 16S ribosomal RNA". It matches the Rfam family "Bacterial small subunit ribosomal RNA", at positions 524 to 776 of the family's 1533-position model. The record is from RNAcentral.
UACGUAGGGGGCAAGCGUUGUCCGGAAUCAUUGGGCGUAAAGAGCGUGUAGGCGGCUUGGUAAGUCCGCUGUGAAAGUCCAGGGCUCAACCCUGGAAAGCCGGUGGAAACUGUCAAGCUUGAGUCCGGAAGAGGCGAGUGGAAUUCUCGGUGUAGCAGUGAAAUGCGUAGAUAUCGAGAGGAACACCAGUGGCGAAGGCGAGUCCCUGGACAGGUCCUGACGCUGAGGCACGAAAGCUAGGGGAGCAAACAGG